ACUGGACCCACUGAAUUCUGACAGUUCUGACAGACUGGAACAAGCUACACCAUGAAGAUCUUCUUGCUUUUCCUCACCACCAUGAUGGUUACUGCAGCACCUCAUGCACCUUCAUCAGAUGGACAUAAACUUAAGCGUUUGAUUUUAGAAGAAAUCAUUCAAAGUAUAAAGGACGUGAAAGACAGCCUAACAGCAGAGAUUUUUGUCCAAAAAGUUAUAACAACUGAACACUGCACUCAUAAGAACUUCUGCAAUGCAGGUAAUAUCCUGUCGGUGUAUAAAGCAGAGGAUCUCGGACUAAAAGAAAAAGACUGGCUGCUGCCCAGGAAACUUGUAGCCUACACCAGGAUAUGUACUGAUGGGGUUUGUGGAAUUUCCCCUUUAAAGGUGCAAAAAGGUUGAACAAUUGUCCUCUUGAGAAUUAACACUACUAAUACAGUGUAAUUCAAAAUCAUCAAGACAUAAAAGAAAGCACUUACAAGCACUUUAGAAAGACAUGUGAGCACAAUGUAUGUGGACCUUCUAAUCUGAAAAAUCUUAAUACAAUAGUAAACACAUCAUUUUAAUUUAAAUGAAAAUAACUGUGACUGUUUCACCUGCAGGACAUUACCUGCAAGGAGCCAGCAUCAGUGGACAAAGUUAAACUUCACCAACUUCUGGAUAUCAUACGGCAGUGCGCUCAGAAGGAGUACACAAAUUCUUAAAGUUUUGAGAUCUUAAGGUUUAUUUAACCUUCGAGUGUUUUAAUGCAAACACAUUACAUGAUAUAUAGGCAUUUUGCAUAUUGCUCACAAUGUGGCAUUAAUGAUUAAUCUUUCCUCUUUUUUCACAAUUCAUUUCAUAAUGUGGUUUUAAAUUAGGGAUUGAAAUAUUUGCAAAAUGUAAAUACAAAUGCUAUUUUAAAAAUAAAUUCUAAUAAAAAACAAG
This is a long non-coding RNA of Ictalurus punctatus (channel catfish), 927 nucleotides long. Lineage: Eukaryota; Metazoa; Chordata; Actinopteri; Siluriformes; Ictaluridae. The record is from Ensembl.